CUGCUAGCUUCCAGAGCACAUAUACUAAAAUUGGAAUGAUACAGAGAUUAGUAUGGCCCCUGCGCAAGGAUGACAUGCAAAUUUGUGAAGCAUUCCAUACUUAA
Cavia porcellus (domestic guinea pig) is the source of this 104-nucleotide small nuclear RNA. The record is from Ensembl. Lineage: Eukaryota; Metazoa; Chordata; Mammalia; Rodentia; Caviidae.